Molecule: long non-coding RNA, 634 nt
Filed under: Capsella rubella
Lineage: Eukaryota; Viridiplantae; Streptophyta; Magnoliopsida; Brassicales; Brassicaceae
Description: long non-coding RNA (CRUB_LNC001215)
Source: RNAcentral
UAAAAGUGAAAAGAAACAAAAAAAAAAAAAAACUAAAAAAAUGUAUAAAGCAGUGUUUUUUCUAAUUACUUUGAUUGGUCUCUUGUUUGCUGGAUCAUCAAACACAGCAUUAGCCCAAGUAGCCUAUGAAACACCAAAAACAGGUAAGCUUAUAUAUAUUGUCCAUUUUUUGAUUUUAUAACCUAAAUAAUAAUUUGAUCAUUAAUUAAUACAUUGUUGUUAAUAUGGAUAGAUACAGGAGAGGGGAGGUGGAAUGAAAAGCCGAUCAUCAGAGGGAUCAAAAGAGAAGUAAAAGGCAGCGUUUCAAGGCGUGCACCUGACCCACCUACUGGCGUAGGCUCUACCAAACCCUAAAGACGAUCAUAUUCAUAUAAUUAUCAAAGCUUCUUAUUAUUAUUAUUACUAUUAUUAUGCUGUGACAUCGAUAUAUAUAGACUAUAGAGAAUAGCUCAGCCGCCGAAUAAAACAACCUCGAGACCACCUUCAUCUGUGCAAGUGGUCUCUAUACUGAACAUUAUUAUUAUUUUAAUAUAAAUAGAAUAAUUAAUUAAUUUUAAACAAACAUAUUCACACAAAAAAAAUUAUUUUGUUUUAAUUCUCACGCAUAUACACAUCAUCAUCACAACCAAAAUCU